GCUUGUUUCACGUCACUUCUUAUUUGGCUUUGGUGAGUUCUUUGUAAUAUGCAGUUGCUGUCGACAGAAAACACCUGAAGGGUGAUUGUGUGUUUGUGUGUUUAGGAGGCUUUCUUUGGAAAGGAUCUUCUAGACAAAAGCAAGCAAAGCAGACAGCAUGGAGUUGAAUCGGGCUUACUGGAAGACGGGCAAGUGGAGCGAAAACACACCAAAUACCAGCAUCCUGGACUCAUCAUCGGUGCUCAACUUCUCAGCAUCAUCCAUUCCUUCUAGAUCAGGUGCAACUGCAGAGACGUCUGAUGAGCCCUUAGUUGAUCUAGCUGAUGUUCUGAACUCUGAUGCAGACAUCUUGGGAAUGCUCGGAAAGUCAAGCAGUGAAUCUGGUGCGUCAUUUUAUCUCACAGGAAGUCACAGUAGCAACUAUCCAAAACUUUUGUUUUUAUUCUGCAAAUUGCAAGUUUAUCUCACACUAUCACCCACCUUAUUGAUUUCUUUUUCAAAUUGCAUAAAAAUUAUGUUGUUCAUUUUGGGUUAUGUUUGUCACCUUUUUUGUGCUUGGUAUGUUUGUCACUGUUUUAUUUCACUCAUUUUAUCUGGUUUUGGGUUCUUGUAGGUCUUGAUUUUUGCUCCUUCCAGGUUGACAGCUCACCUCCUCCUUUUGCCGGUCUGGACAUCGGGCCCCUGACGGACAACUCCACGGUGGGGUCUCACUCUCAGACUGGUCGGAGGACACCUCGGACAAUUGCAGACGAGCCUUUAGAUGGCAUUCUCAGCCCAGAGCUCGAUAAGAUGGUGACUGAUGGUCAGUGUAAAAGAACAAUACUUUUUUAAAACAUGCUUGUCAGUGUUUUUGAUCGUUCAAAUUUAGCAGAACUAUGAAUCUUUGAGGAUUUUUUA
Molecule: long non-coding RNA, 897 nt
Filed under: Oryzias javanicus (javanese ricefish)
Lineage: Eukaryota; Metazoa; Chordata; Actinopteri; Beloniformes; Adrianichthyidae
Description: lncRNA (ENSOJAG00000022741.1)
Source: RNAcentral